GAAAAAUUAGUUAAAUAAUAACAUAAGAAUGUCAAUCUUAAAUUACUUUAUUAAGUAUUUUUU
Molecule: transfer RNA, 63 nt
Filed under: Ammothea clausi
Lineage: Eukaryota; Metazoa; Arthropoda; Pycnogonida; Pantopoda; Ammotheidae
Description: tRNA-Asp
Source: RNAcentral